This 453-nucleotide ribosomal RNA is filed under the name Halimeda gracilis. Its description in RNAcentral is "eukaryotic LSU rRNA". The stretch from base 97 to 253 matches the Rfam family "5.8S ribosomal RNA". The record is from RNAcentral. Lineage: Eukaryota; Viridiplantae; Chlorophyta; Ulvophyceae; Bryopsidales; Halimedaceae.
UUUUCGUAGGUGAACCUGCGAAAGGAUCAUUAUCGGCACAUCCCUAUUCUCGAAUGCAAACAGGCGUUCUGCCUUAGGGCGACGCCGCAGUUCCGAAAGCAUGCGUGGUGGACGGCUCGGUUCCCGCGUCGAUGAAGGACGUAGCGAGAUACGAAAGGUGUUGCGAAUUGCAAGAUUUCGCGAGUCAAUGACCAUCCGAAUGCAUCGCCGCCCUCCCUUCGCCUUCGGGCGGAGGGAGGACGCGUCGGCGACAUCGCCCCGCACCAGCGCUCUCCCACCACCGAGGGAGAGGCGGCCGUGGACGGAGCACCCGGCCGUCGGUCGGCGUGUCCGCUCCUGCUCGCACAGUCGCUCCGCGUGGCCUCCACAGACCCGCUGUCCGACUCGACCGAGAGAAUCGCUGCGAUGUCGUCGGCGAGGAAACCCGCUGAACUUAAGCAUAUCAUUAAGCGG